This 753-nucleotide small RNA is filed under the name Pan troglodytes (chimpanzee). RNAcentral's name for it is "retained intron". Lineage: Eukaryota; Metazoa; Chordata; Mammalia; Primates; Hominidae. The record is from RNAcentral.
GAUAUUACACUGUCAAAACUUUACAAGUUAAUUGAAGAGUCUUGUCCACAGCUGGCAAAUUCAGUGCAGAUCAGAAUCAAACUGAUGGCUGAAGGCGAGUUGAAGGAUAUGGAACAGUUUUUUGAUGACCUUUCAGAUUCUUUCUCUGGAACUGAACCAGAGGUUCACAAAACAAGUGUAGUAGGUUUGUUUCUGCGUCACAUGAUCUUGGCCUACAGUAAGCUUUCUUUCAGCCAAGUGUUUAAACUGUACACUGCCCUUCAGCAGUACUUCCAGAAUGGUGAGAAAAAGACAGUGGAGGAUGCUGAUAUGGAACUGACCAGUAGAGAUGAGGGUGAAAGAAAAAUGGAAAAAGAAGAACUUGAUGUAUCUGUAAGAGAAGAGGAGGUAUCUUGCAGUGGGCCUCUGUCCCAAAAACAAGCAGAAUUUUUUCUUUCUCAACAGGCUUCUUUGCUAAAGAAUGAUGAGACUAAGGCCCUCACUCCAGCUUCCUUGCAGAAGGAAUUAAACAAUUUGUUGAAAUUUAAUCCUGAUUUUGCUGAAGCGCAUUAUCUCAGCUACUUAAACAACCUCCGUGUCCAAGAUGUUUUCAGUUCAACACACAGUCUCCUCCAUUAUUUUGAUCGUCUGAUUCUUACCGGAGCCGAAAGCAAAAGUAAUGGGGAAGAGGGCUAUGGCCGGAGCUUGAGAUACGCCGCUCUGAAUCUUGCCGCCCUGCACUGCCGCUUCGGUCACUAGUAAGUUUAUAGACCU